CCUACGGGAGGCAGCAGUCGAGAAUAAUUCACAAUGGGGGAAACCCUGAUGGUGCGACGCCGCGUGGGGGAAUGAAGGUCUUCGGAUUGUAAACCCCUGUCAUGUGGGAGCAAAUUAAAAAGAUAGUACCACAAGAGGAAGAGACGGCUAACUCUGUGCCAGCAGCCGCGGUAAUACAGGGGUCUGAAGCGGUGUUCGGAAUCACUGGGGGUAAAGGGUGCGUAGGCUGUUUCGUAAGUCAUGUGGGAAAGGCGCGGGGUCAAACCGCGGACGGCACAUGACACUGGGCGACUAGAGUGAGGGAGAGGGAAGCGGAAUGCGCGGUGUAGCAGUGAAAUGCGUAGAUAUCGAGAGGAACACUCGUGGCGAAGGCAGGUUCCUGGAGAUUAACUGACGCUGAGGCACGAAGGUGAGGGGAGCGAAAGGGAUUAGAUACCCGAGUAGUC
RNAcentral lists this ribosomal RNA (446 nucleotides) under uncultured bacterium. RNAcentral describes it as "partial 16S ribosomal RNA". It matches the Rfam family "Bacterial small subunit ribosomal RNA", at positions 338 to 795 of the family's 1533-position model. The record is from RNAcentral.